RNAcentral lists this ribosomal RNA (393 nucleotides) under uncultured bacterium. RNAcentral describes it as "partial 16S ribosomal RNA". The record is from RNAcentral.
UGCUGUGACUGUGUGUGAGUAACACUGUGGGCACACCUACCUAUAUAGUUUGGGAUAACUCCUGGGAAACCUGGGGCUAAUACCUGAAUAAUCUAUAUUUACUAUACAUUGGUUGAAAUAACUUGAAAGACGUGUAUUCAGUGCUGUACUGCUAUAAUGAUGUGGCCCUGCUGUGCUGCAUNUAGCUAGUAUGGUUGAGUGUAACUGUGCUACACCAAUUGCUGACUGAUNGCGUAGCCGACCUGAGAGUGGUNGAUACUGGCCACACUGGGACUGAGACACUGGACCCAGACUACCUAACGGGAGGCAGCAGUAGUGGAAUACUAUCCUGCAAUUGGACGAAAGUCUNGACGGAGGCAACUGCCUGGCGUGAGUAGAUNGAAUGUGCUUANA